Molecule: ribosomal RNA, 721 nt
Filed under: uncultured bacterium
Lineage: Bacteria
Description: partial 16S ribosomal RNA
Source: RNAcentral
AUUACCAACUUCCAUGGUGUGACGGGCGGNGUGUACAAGACCCGGGAACGCAUUCACCGCGACGUUCUGAUUCGCGAUUACUAGCAACUCCGACUUCAUGUAGGCGAGUUGCAGCCUACAAUCCGAACUGGGAUCGGUUUAUUGGGAUUCGCUCCAGAUCACUCCUUCGCUGCCCUUUGUACCGACCAUUGUAGCACGUGUGUAGCCCAAGACAUAAGGGGCAUGAUGAUUUGACGUCAUCCCCACCUUCCUCCGAUUUAUCAUCGGCAGUCUCCUUAGAGUGCCCAGCUUAACCUGCUGGCAACUAAGGAUAAGGGUUGCGCUCGUUGCGGGACUUAACCCAACAUCUCACGACACGAGCUGACGACAACCAUGCACCACCUGUCACCCUUGCUCCCGAAGGAGAGGGCACAUCUCUGUGCCGGUCAAGGGGAUGUCAAGCCUUGGUAAGGUUCUUCGCGUUGCUUCGAAUUAAACCACAUGCUCCGCUGCUUGUGCGGGUCCCCGUCAAUUCCUUUGAGUUUCAGUCUUGCGACCGUACUCCCCAGGCGGAGUGCUUAUUGUGUUUACUUCGGCACUGAAUAUCGCUACCCAACACCUAGCACUCAUCGUUUACAGCGUGGACUACCAGGGUAUCUAAUCCUGUUUGCUACCCACGCUUUCGUGACUCAGCGUCAGUUACAGUCCAGUAAGUCGCCUUCGCCACUGGUGUUCCUCCUAA